UUUUGUCCAUAUGUGUGUGUGAAGUGUGUUCGCCAUUUUGUAGUGGGGUUUUAAUUCUCAGCGGUUCGUUUCAUUCACUAUAUAGUCCACUAUGAAAUACCCACAAUGCACAGCUAAUUUGUGCAAACA
Long non-coding RNA from Etheostoma spectabile (orangethroat darter), 129 nucleotides. RefSeq lists it as uncharacterized. The transcript is spliced from 4 exons. The record is from RefSeq and is a predicted model, not a curated record. NCBI's taxonomy places the organism in Eukaryota, Metazoa, Chordata, Actinopteri, Perciformes, Percidae.